UUUGAGGCAGCAAUAAAUUCUGGAUUAGAACGAGGGAUGUCAAGGGUUCUGGGGAGAAGGCAGGAAAAUGGGAUUAGGAGGCAGAGAUCAGACAUGAUUGAAUGGCGGAGUGGACUCGAUGGGCCAAAUG
Molecule: long non-coding RNA, 130 nt
Organism: Amblyraja radiata (thorny skate)
Lineage: Eukaryota; Metazoa; Chordata; Chondrichthyes; Rajiformes; Rajidae
Exons: 3
Source: RefSeq, a predicted model, not a curated record